This is a non-coding RNA of Paralichthys olivaceus (Japanese flounder), 342 nucleotides long. Lineage: Eukaryota; Metazoa; Chordata; Actinopteri; Pleuronectiformes; Paralichthyidae. The record is from RefSeq and is a predicted model, not a curated record.
CCAACCACAAUCAUCAUCCUUCUCCUCAUCUCACAAAGAGAGGCAGCUACACUGUGUGCUUUCUACUGAUACUGAGGCAGGACAUUAGGCUGACUCUUCUCUCAGAUCGUCCGGUUUGGAACUCACUGAAAGCUUUAUGAGGAUAAUUUCAGCAUCUGAAUCUGGGGGGCAGCACUGAGGUCAACACUCACUUGUGAAGCUGACUGAUGAGAGAUGAGAUCCUCUCUUACUGUAGUGAUGCUGUGCAGGUGGAUCAUUGUGGGGUUCAUCUUCGUGCAGCAGCUCAGUGCAGUAAGUAUUUCCUUUUUUAUUUAUUAAUACGCCAACCAAGUUAAAACGUGU